GGAUUGUGGCUCAGUGGUAGAGUCCUCGCCUAGUAUGUGCGAGGCCCUAGGUUAGAUCCUCAGCACCA
RNAcentral lists this transfer RNA (68 nucleotides) under Marmota monax (woodchuck). Its description in RNAcentral is "tRNA.Thr". Lineage: Eukaryota; Metazoa; Chordata; Mammalia; Rodentia; Sciuridae. The record is from RNAcentral.